AUUGAACGCUGGCGGCAGGCCUAACACAUGCAAGUCGAACGAGUGGCGGACGGGUGAGUAAUGUCUGGGAAAAUGCUUGAUGGAGGGGGAUAACUACUGGAAACGGUAGGUAAUACCGCAUCCCAUCGGAUGUGCCAAGAUGGGAUGAUCUAGUAGGUGGGGUAAAGGCUCACCUAGGCGACGAUCCCUAGCUGCUAUGAGAGGAUGACAGGACACACUGGCACUUAGACACUGUCCAGACUCCUCCGGUAGGCAGGAGGGGGGAAGAUUGCACAAUGGGCGCAAGCCUGAUGCAGCCAUCCCGCGUGUAUGAAGAAGGCAUUCGGGUUGUAAAGUACUUUCAGCGGGGAGGCGUUACCCGCAGAAGAAGCACCGGCUAACUCCGUGCCAGCAGCCGCGGUAAUAC
This 406-nucleotide ribosomal RNA is filed under the name uncultured bacterium. RNAcentral describes it as "partial 16S ribosomal RNA". It matches the Rfam family "Bacterial small subunit ribosomal RNA", at positions 30 to 526 of the family's 1533-position model. The record is from RNAcentral.